This is a long non-coding RNA of Ictalurus furcatus (blue catfish), 2390 nucleotides long. RefSeq lists it as uncharacterized. The record is from RefSeq and is a predicted model, not a curated record. NCBI's taxonomy places the organism in Eukaryota, Metazoa, Chordata, Actinopteri, Siluriformes, Ictaluridae. The transcript is spliced from 3 exons.
UCCUGUGUCGAUUACAGAAAACCCCAAUUGAAUUAAAACUCUUUUUUUAAAAUUAUAGAUGUAUAUUGUACAAUCAUGUCCCCGAAAAAGAAAAGUUCAAAAAUGAUUGAAAACCCAAUAUUGCCAUGUUCAUGUCCAUCAUGUGUAUGUAAACUUCCAACCGCAACUGUACUAGAGCAUUGAGAUCAUGUAAUCAACUUCUUUUAUCUGUCCCACUUUCACGUACUAAGACAAAGGGUGAUUGAGCCUGUUCUGUGGUUAGUCCCAAAUUUUGUAACAGUCUCCCUUUUCAUGUGAGGUCCAUUUUUAGCUAUUUUUAGAUCUUCUCUUGAAACUUAUUUUUAUUCUUUAUUUAAUGUGAUGAAUUAUAAUGUUUUUACAGCACUUUUGAUCAACUGCUGUUGUCUUUAAAUGUGCUUUAUAAAUUAAUUUAACUACUUCUGGACAUAAAAUGUGCACACGUGGUCACUGAAGAUGCUUUUGAGACAUGAAAAUACCAGGACUGCCUGAACAGGGCUUUUGCAAUGUUAAGUGAUGAUAAUGGCAGCUUGGCACAAGUGUUCAGUGUGGAUAUGAUUGUCAGGGCUAUUUUGUGAUGGCUGUUUUCCAUGGUCUUCUAGCCCAAACAUGGUUGCUGUCAAGGAUGUGUAGAUUAAAGAUGAGAUGAAACUGGGCUUAAUGAGAGCUUUUGAACAGAUAUUCAUAUACAGUGGGAUAGGAAAGAUUCAGACCACUUCACUUUUUGCACACUUUAUUGAGUUAUAGAUUCGAUUUAAAUCUAUAUUUGGCUACAUUUUAAUGUACACACAUUAAUGCAUAAUGACAAAGCAAAAACAUUAUUUUAAUUUGUAAAAAAAAUUUUGGCGCUCUACCUGCUUCUUCCAGCUGCUGUACUUGCUAUUAGAUGUUAUGGUAACCGUAUAGCCUCAGAAGUUUAUGAUCACAAGCGUAUGAUGGCAUGGCAUUGGGGAGAUCUUUUAUAAAUCAUUCGGCCUAGGGAUAGGAAAUAAGUGAUCUUGGAGAUUGUUUUAUUAGAAUUAAAUGUGUUUUUAGUUUUAUUUGUGUGAGGGCAUGUUGAUUGGACGUUGUUUAGAAAGGAACGUGUGUGUGUGUGUGUGUGUGUGUGUGUGUGUGUGUGUGUGUGUGUGUGUGUAAGGUUCCAGUAUUCACAGUGCAUUUCAGACCAAAAUUAAGCCAUGAAAUUCAAAUUGUGUUUAUACAUAUCUCUUGGCAAGUGUUUGAGUGUUCCCAGGAGUACAAUGGCUAUCAUUGUGAAAUGGAAGAAGUUUGGAACCACCAGGACUCCACUGCUAAUGCUGGCCAACCAGCCAAACUCAGUAACCAGGCAGGAAUGGAUUUGCUGAGGGAGAACAUAGAUCGAUUAAUGGCGUCGCCACGCCGUCCGACAUCCCUCCAGAAUUUCACGUAUCAACAUACGAUCGUUAUGUGACAGGGAUGGGGAUACUGGUCAGAAUUGAAUGCAAACAAAUGCAGAGAGUUCCUUGAAAACCAAACCUGCUCCAGAGUGUACACAACCUCAGACUGGUGUGUAAAGAAAAAAAAAAAAAAAAGAUGAAGCAUACAGCCAAGACAAAGCUGGAUUGUCUUUGACAAGUCAAAAUGUCCUUGAAUGACCAGCUAUACCCAAAAGCCCUGUGAAGAGGGUCCAGCUAUGCCUACAAGACUGUGUAAUGGGGAAUGAACUACAAUCCCAUGAAGCAUUGUGAAUGACGCAGUCAAAUAAAUAAAAUCUAUGCAAAAAUAUAAAAUUACUGAUUUAGUUGUUGUUGGUUAUAAAUAUAGAAACAGUAGUUUGUUUAUUGCAAAACAUUAAGGUAUAUACAAAUAUUUAAAUAGUUUGAGAGUGUAGGGACACUGACUUGAUUAUGUCGCUUUCAGUGCCUCAUAGGAAUGAACGUUCGCUGCAGAGCACCGCAAUUUUUACACUAUUAUUACUGAAGUAGUGAAGGAUUUCAUCCAUUUAUUUAUUUAAUUAAAAUUAAAGGUUUGGUUUUUUUAAACACAUUUCUGCUUUAUUCAAAAUAAACCAUGUUUAUUUUAUAAAGUUUAAGUACACCACCUGUGAAAAGUUUGAGACACUUGCUUAUUCGAAGUAAUUUUUUCAUGUUUUAGAUCAAUAUUGUCAGCAAAGCUUUUGUAUUUGUCUGUGUACUUAAUCUUUAAUGUAGGAAUGAACUACAACCCCAUGAAGCACUGCGAAUUAGUGAAAUUAAAAACUAUGCAGAAAUAUAAUAAAAGAAUGCUUUGUAAUAUUAUUUUACAAUGACAGAAAUCAUUGCCUAUUCCAAAUGCAGUUUGACUUUUUUCAUCGUCAGAACAUUGAAUGAAUAUUGUUAGCUCUUAUGAUAAAUUUCUUGUGAUGUUCUUCA